AGAGCACUGUUUGGACUAGGGGCCCUUCUCGGGUUACCGAAUUCAGAUAAACUCCGAAUGCCAUGUACUUAUACUCGGGAGUCAGACUGCGAGUGAUAAGAUCCGUAGUCGAAAGGGAAACAGCCCAGACCACCAGUUAAGGUCCCCAAAUAUAUGUUAAGUGGAAAAGGAUGUGGGGUUGCUUAGACAACCAGGAUGUUGGCUUAGAAGCAGCCACCAUUGAAAGAGUGCGUAAUAGCUCACUGGUCGAGUGACCCCGCGCCGAAAAUGUACCGGGGCUAAACAUAUUACCGAAACUGUGGAUGAACCUCUUUAGAGGUUCGUGGUAGGAGAGCGUUCUAAGGGCGGUGAAGUCAGACCGGAAGGACUGGUGGAGCGCUUAGAAGUGAGAAUGCCGGUAUGAGUAGCGAAAGAAGGGUGAGAAUCCCUUCCACCGAAUAUCUAAGGUUUCCUGAGGAAGGCUCGUCCGCUCAGGGUUAGUCGGGACCUAAGCCGAGGCCGAUAGGCGUAGGCGAUGGACAACAGGUAGAGAUUCCUGUACCAGUGCUAAUUGUUUAACCGAUGGGGUGACACAGAAGGAUAGGGAAUCGCACGAAUGGAAAUGUGCGUCCAAGCAGUGAGUGUGAGAAGUAGGCAAAUCCGCUUCUCGCGAAGCAUGAGCUGUGAUGGGGAAGGAAAUUAAGUACGGAAGUUCCUGAUUUCACGCUGUCAAGAAAAGCCUCUAGGAAGAGUAGUACUGCCCGUACCGCAAACCGACACAGGUAGAUGAGGAGAGAAUCCUAAGGUGAGCGAGAGAACUCUCGUUAAGGAACUCGGCAAAAUGACCCCGUAACUUCGGGAGAAGGGGUGCUCUAUUAGGGUGCAAGCCCGAGAGAGCCGCAGUGAAUAGGCCCAGGCGACUGUUUAGCAAAAACACAGGUCUCUGCAAAACCGUAAGGUGACGUAUAGGGGCUGACGCCUGCCCGGUGCUGGAAGGUUAAGAGGAGUGCUUAGCUUCGGCGAAGGUACGAAUUGAAGCCCCAGUAAACGGCGGCCGUAACUAUAACGGUCCUAAGGUAGCGAAAUUCCUUGUCGGGUAAGUUCCGACCCGCACGAAAGGCGCAACGAUCUGGGCACUGUCUCAACGAGAGACUCGGUGAAAUUAUAGUACCUGUGAAGAUGCAGGUUACCCGCGACAGGACGGAAAGACCCCGUGGAGCUUUACUGCAACCUGAUAUGGAAUGUUUGUACCGCUUGUACAGGAUAGGUAGGAGCCGAAGAGACGUGUGCGCUAGCAUACGAGGAGGCAAUGGUGGGAUACUACCCUGGCUGUAUGACCAUUCUAACCCGCCACGCUUAGCGCGUGGGGAGACAGUGUCAGGUGGGCAGUUUGACUGGGGCGGUCGCCUCCUAAAGAGUAACGGAGGCGCCCAAAGGUUCCCUCAGAAUGGAUGGAAAUCAUUCGCAGAGUGUAAAGGCACAAGGGAGCUUGACUGCGAGACUGACAAGUCGAGCAGGGACGAAAGUCGGGCUUAGUGAUCCGGUGGUUCCGCAUGGAAGGGCCAUCGCUCAACGGAUAAAAGCUACCCCGGGGAUAACAGGCUUAUCUCCCCCAAGAGUCCACAUCGACGGGGAGGUUUGGCACCUCGAUGUCGGCUCGUCGCAUCCUGGGGCUGUAGUCGGUCCCAAGGGUUGGGCUGUUCGCCCAUUAAAGCGGCACGCGAGCUGGGUUCAGAACGUCGUGAGACAGUUCGGUCCCUAUCCGUCGCGGGCGCAGGAAAUUUGAGAGGAGCUGUCCUUAGUACGAGAGGACCGGGAUGGACACACCGCUGGUGUACCAGUUGUUCCGCCAGGAGCAUCGCUGGGUAGCUAUGUGUGGCAGGGAUAAACGCUGAAAGCAUCUAAGCGUGAAGCCCCCCUCAAGAUGAGAUUUCCCAUUUCUUCGGAAAGUAAGAUCCCUGAAAGAUGAUCAGGUAGAUAGGUUUGGAGUGGAAGUGUAGCGAUACAUGGAGCGGACAAAUACUAAUCGAUCGAGGACUUAACCAAAA
This 2027-nucleotide ribosomal RNA is filed under the name Listeria monocytogenes. RNAcentral's name for it is "partial 23S ribosomal RNA". It matches the Rfam family "Bacterial large subunit ribosomal RNA", at positions 904 to 2925 of the family's 2925-position model. The record is from RNAcentral. Lineage: Bacteria; Bacillati; Bacillota; Bacilli; Caryophanales; Listeriaceae.